GCGCGCGGCCUCCUGGCUCUGCGCGGGCCGGCCUCUCGUGGCGCGUGGGGCGGAAGAGGCCAGAUGCAGUGGACGCCCUGUAGAGGACGUGGUAUCCUCCGUAUGGAGGGAGGCUACCUGAGUGCAGGAAACAAACACGUCUUGACUGUAACCUCAGCAUUGAGCUGGGAUGCGCCCAGGAUGCCAGUGUUCCCCAGGAACUCCGUUUGAAAACCACUGAACUAGAGUUUGGAAGUCAAAAGUGAUAUUUUGUGUGUAACGAGUGGUCUGAUGUCCCCGUCUCCAUGAACUCUGUCUUUGGAGAGCUGUCAGAACCGGCUGUACUGAGGCGGGGCUUCUCACAUUCCGCAGCUGGGCCUCCGAGGCAGAGGGGCAGGGGCCUCACAGCUGCUGUUUAUCCCACUCGUGUUGCAGCCCGAGAACAAUGCGUCCUGCUGACUGAGGGAGGAGAGUAAUGCUCCGUUGUUGGCGCGGUGGCUAAAGGGGGGCUCUGAGCGUGGGGAUCCCUGCAUGCUCUCUCCUUUCGUCUGGAGUUUUCUCAGGAGCUUAGCCGCUUUUCUAAGAUGUGCUGUUAUGCUGGGAAGUCGGGGGUGGAAAUCCAGUAUCCGAUACAACGCCGAAAACACACACACCAGAACUCAGACCACACUUAGCCCAGGAGGAGGCCCUUCUCGCAGGUUUGGGUGGGCUUAGCUCUGCAGACUCCUACAAUCCUGAGCGAAGCAGAAGUAAGAUGUCUAGGGGGAGAGGUCCAACUCACGUGCAUGGGAUGGUGCAGGACUCCAUUCAAGCCAGAAAAAUUAAAGAUCGUUUGUCAGUCAGGUGUAUGAAGGCGCUCUCAUUUUUUUUUCUUUUGUUUUGCUUUAUGUUCUAGCUUGAAAUGUUUGUGACUUUUAUACAUAUUGUGUAUCGGUCUUCUUGUCUCAUCUUCUCCUUAACCUGCUUCAUGGCAGCAUCCAAGUCCUGCUACAUUUGUGCGUGUAGUAGAUGUGCCUACAGGGGCAGUUCCUAGGGAUGGGUCACUAGGGGUUGGGUCUUGAGGAGGAGGAGGAAGAUGAAAAGUAGUGGGGUGACUGGAAAGAGGAAAGGGAGUGGGAGUCACGAUUUUGCUACAAGUAAGAUCCUUUAAAUAUUCAGAGAACCAACUCCCUGUUGUGUUUUCAAAUUGUUUAAUUUAUUGCCCUUUGAUUUUCAGGUUCACUUGGACAGUCUUUUCCCAAGCAUUUUUAUUAUUUUCUCUGUGUGUCUCAUUUCUCACUAGUGCUGUGCUGCCUUGUUCAUUUUUUAAAAAUUAAUUAAUUAAUUUUUGGCUGCGUUGGGUCUUGUUGCUGCACGCGGGCUUUCUCUAGUUGUGGUGAGCAGGGGCUACUCUUCAUUGCGGUGCGCGGGCUUCUCAUUGUGGUGGCCUCUGGUUGCAGAGCACGGGCUCUAGGCACGCGGGCUUCGGUAGCUGUGGCACGUAGGCUUUAGUAGUUGUGGCUGGCGGGCUCUAGAGCACAGGCUCAGUAGUUGUGGCUCUCGGGCUUAGUUGCUCCACGGCAUGUGGGAUCUUCCCGGACCAGGGCUCGAACCCGUGUCCCCUGCAGUGGCAGGCGGAUUCUUAACCACUGCGCCACCAGGGAAGUCCCUGCCUUGUUCAUUUUCAUUGUUCGUUUUGCACCUAGCUCUCUGAAUCCUCACCUUCCUUCCAGUUUACCGCAGAUUCUAUAGGUUCUAAAGCCCCUAUCUUCUUUCAGAGCUUUCAUGAAACUCCGUAUAUCUGUGAAAACAGUUACACAUACGGUGCUUGUUAUGGGUGUGACACGAUGGUAAGUGCUUAUAUGAGACAGAUUCUAGUAUGACCCCUCGUCACAGGAGGAAACUAAAGCGCAGGGAGGUUAAUAACCUGACCACGGUCACCCAGCUGGGAAGGACAGAACCAAGGAUUCCGACCCAAGUGGUCUGUGCUCUUCACCACCGCACACAGACCCUCCUACUCACAGCGAAUGACCUGCUUCGUACUGACACGGCCACAUUUUCAAAAAUGUAUUUUGUGUGUGUGUGUGUGGUAUGCGGGCCUCUCACUGCUGUGGCCUCUCCCGUUGCGGAGCACAGGCUCCGGACGCGCAGGCUCAGCGGCCACGGCUCACGGGCCCAGCCGCUCCGCGGCACGUGGGAUCCUCCCGGACCGGGGCACAAACCCGCGUCCCCUGCAUCGGCAGGCGGACGCGCAACCACUGCGCCACCAGGGAAGCCCUCAAAAAUGUAUUUUUAUUGAAGUAGAGUUGAUUUACAAUGUUGCGUUAAUUUCUUCUGCACAGCAGAGUGAUUCAGUUAUGCAUAUAUAUAUUCAUUCUUUUUCAUAGUCUUUUCCAUUAUGGUUUAUCACAGGAUAUUGAACAUAGUUCCCUGUGCUCUACAGUAAGACCUUGUUUUUUAUCCAUUCUAUGUAUAAUAGUUUUCAUCUGCUAAUCCCAAACUCCCAGUCCUUCCCUCCCCCAACCCCUCCACUCCCCGCUUGGCAAGCACAAGUCUGCUCUCUGUGUCUGUGGGUCUGUUUCAUAGAUAAGUUCAUCUGUGUCAUAUUUUAGAUUCCACAUAUAGGUGAUAUCGUAUGGCGGCGUGGCCACAUUCCCGCUGCUGCCUGUGGACCGUGACCUUCUGUACUUCUGAAGCUUUCCUCCGUAGUCUUUCCCAGAAACUACUGUGGUGGACAUGGUGAUCUGCUGCACGACUCCCCUUCGAGGAUGGACGUGUGGCCCCAGCUGCUGGAACGUGGCUGACAGCUGCUGGCUCCAGAACCCGUCUCAGCUGCAGGGGGUUCCCUGGCUCAACGUUGCGUCCUUUCCAAGGCAGCCCACACUCAGUGACCAAGGAGGGUAUAAAGACUCCGCUGUUUCGGCCCGACACGGAAUUACAUGAUGAGCCAUUUUGGAGCCUGAGCUCCCUGUGGGGCUGGGUGAGGCUGCCGUCACACCUGCCAUCAUGCCUGCAUGGCAGCUCAACUCCUUCUACUCACUCCUCCUUCCUCCUCCGCUGUGGAUCCCAAAGGCACUCUCCAACAAACUGAGACUGUUACCAGAGGCCUCGGGUACUCAGAGAACUGUACCACCUUCACUCUGUAGGCUAAAAUGAAAGGCAAGAGACGGGUCUAAGGAAAAGCCAAAGACAAAGAAAAUAUUGACGAUGAUUUUUAAAGAUGCCAAAGAUACCAUCUUGCAUUACUUUAAUCCAGUCUCCUCCAUUGAUCAUUUCUGGGUGACUUUGUUAUCCUCUAAAACUUUUAUGUAACAGUAUAGCAGUUCCUAAAAAAAAUUAAAAAUAGAAUUACCAUAUGAUCCAGCAAUCCUGCUUCUGGGUAUAUACCCCAAAGCAAUGAAAAGUAUUUAUACACCCAUGUUCAUAGCAGCAUUGUUCAUGACAGCCAAAAGGUGGAAACAACCCCAAAUCCAUCAGCGGAUGACUAGAUAAGCAAAAUGUGUAUAUGCACAAUGGAAUAUUAUUCAGCCUUAAAAAGGAAGGAGAUUCUUACACAUGCUACAACAUGGAUGAAACUUGACAGUGUUAUGCUAAGUGAAAUAAGCCAGACACCAAAAGACAAAUAUUGCAUGAUUCCACUUAUAUGAGGUACAGACUCGUCAGAUUCACAGAGACUGAAAGUAGAGUGGUGGUACCAGGGGCUGGGUGGAGGAGGGGGAAGGGGAGUUUCUGUUUAACGGGGACAGAGUUUCACUUUUACAAGAGGAAAAGGGUUCUGGGGGUUGGUUGCACAACAAUGUGAAUAUACUCAACACUACUGAACUGCACACUUAAAAAUGCUUAAGAUGGUAAAUUUUAUGUUUGGUGUAUUUUACCACAAUUUAAAAAAAAACAACUUUCAUGUGGCAAAAUGUCAAAAUUCAAUUUCAUCAAGAGAGCAUUUAAGAGAACAUUUCUCAGACUUUUCCCCAUGUACACAGUUCUCUGAAAAUAGUCAUAGAUCUGAUGCUGCCUAGCGUAAGCCUUUGAAAGAGAGCUAAAUCCCCCCACAGGAUACGAAAGACAAAGCCUUGAAGAAUCACGGAAAAGAGCGAGCAGGAAGUUCUCAGGGGAAAUAGUGCUACAUGCAGGAAUGCCCACCACGGGGCUGGACGUGUGGCGGCUGUGAGGACGGGCACUUCUUGUGUCCACCGAAGAUAGUCUGAGGGCAGAAUGCGGGAGAGAGUGGAGAGAACACCUGUAUUCCUGGCCGCACACCACCUGGAGCAGGUCGUUCGCCAUGGUCACAGGAAACUGCAAGGAAGGCCCAUUUGCUGGGACUCUCGGAGGGCAGUCCCAAUAGCAGGCGCGAAACAGGAAGAACAAGAACAACGGCGGUUCUGAAGCCCAUUCAGCGCCUCUGGGGAAAAGUGCCUAGAAGGACUCAAAGACUGACGUUUUAAAAGCAAAGAUAACGUAGCAGCCGGUGGCAGAAGCUGAAGAGACACUCCUGAAUCCUGGCUGCCAGGUGGGGAUCUGGCCUUGGUCUUGGCUCAUUGCAACAAAAGAGCAGCCAAAGAGGUCAAGAGGAAAGCUCAACCUUGAAGGGGUUCGAUUUCGGAGUAACCCUAGCCGACCGCCCAAGCUGAAGCUGCUUUUCUCAAAGCAUUGUCACUACCAGGCACGGCAGCUAUAGGUGCCCCACGUGACACACAGGUGACAUCACCUGUCCUGCUCAUCCAGUUUGCCUUAUUGCGUAUGCCAGAGGCCCCUAAAAAUUGUUUUAUUAAUUUAAGACGUUACCAGUUUGCCCUGGAUAUUGCUGAAGGGGUCCCUUUGAAGAACUUUCGACAUCAUUCUGUUCCUUCCUUCCUUCCUCCCUCCCUCCCUCUCUUCCUUCCUUCCUUUUGGCACUUUUUUUUUUUUUAUUGUGGCAAAAUACAUGUAACAUAAAAUUCACCAUUUUAACCAUUUUUAAUAUGUAAUUCAGUGGAAAUUAAUUACAUUCACAGUGUUGUGCAACCAUCACCAAUAUCUGUUUCCAAAACUUUUUUGUGACCCCACGCAGAAACUCUGUACCCACUAAACAAUAACCACAUACGUCCCGCCCCAGACCUUGGUAACCUUGGAUCUGCUUUCUGUCCCUAUGAAUGUGCCUAUUCUAGGUACCUCACAUAAGCAGAAUCAUACGGUGUUUGUUCUUUUGUGUCUGUCUUAGUUGACAUAGUAUAAUGUCUUCAAGGUGCAUCCAUGUUGUAGCAUGCGUCAGAAUUUCCUUCCUUUUUAGGACUGAAUAAUAUUCCAGUGCAUGGAUGGACCAUUUUUUUAAUCCAUUCAUCCUUGGAACUUGUGGUUGUGUCUACCUUUUGACUGUGGUGAAUGAUUCUUCUACGAAUAUGGGUGUAAAAUAUCUCAGUUCUUGCUUUCGAUUCCUUUGGGUGUAUACCCAGAAGAGGAAUUGCUAGAUCAUAUGGUAAUACUAUGUUUAGCUUUUGAGGAACUGUCAAACUGUCUUCCGUAGUGGAUGCACUAUUUUACGUUCCCAUCAGCAGUGCACUAGGGUUUCAAUUUCUCCACAUCCUUACCAACAUUUGUCACUUUCGUUUUUUUAAAAAAAUAACCAUUCUAAUGGAUGUGAAGUGGUAUCUCAUUGUGGUCUUGAUUUGCUUUUUCCUAAUGACUGGUGAUGUUGAUCAUCUUUUUAUGUGCUUAUUGGCCAUCUGAAUAUCUGCUUUGAAGAAAUGUCUAUGCAAGUCUUUUGCCCAUUUUUGUAUUGAGUAGUGUGUUUUUUUGGUUAUUGAAAUGUAGGAGUUCUUUAUAUAUUCUGGAUACUAAUUCCUUAUCUGAUAUAUGAUUUGCAAAUAUUUUCCCCCAUUCUAUAGGCUGUCUUUUCACUCUCUUGGUAGUAUUCUUGGAUGCACAAAUGUUUUGAAUUUUGAUCAAGUCCAGUUUAUUUACUUUUUCUUUUCUUGCCUGUACUUUUGUUGUCAGGUGCCAAAUCAUUGCUGAAUCCAAUGUCAUGAAAAUUUUCCCUAUGUUUUCUUCUAAGAGCAUUAUAGUUUUAGUACUUAUGUUUAGGUCUUUCACCCAUUUCAAGUUAGUUUUUGUGUAUGGUGUGAAGUAAGGAUCCAACUUCAUGCAUGUGAAUAUCUAGUGUUCCCAGCACCAUUUGUUGAAAAGACUAUCUUUCCCCAGUCUUAUUUUCUUUUAUGUUUACAUGUUUUUAAGUUUCCUGCUAAGAUAAGGAAAGUGAGAAUUACUUAAAUUGUAAGCAAUAUAUAAACAAAAUGUAAGUAAAUACAAUAAUGAAACCAGAUAUUAUAGGGAGCUAUGUUAAUAUUACAAGUCUAAGCUUUGCCUCUUUCAUGAUUCCCUACUUCUUCAGCCUGAAACAAUUCCAUCUUGUAUUGAUGUCUUAACUUUCAUUGCCUAUAUUUUUUUUCACGCAUUUAAAAAAAUUUUAUUUAUUUUAUUUAUUCAUUUUUGGCUGCGUUGGGUCUUCAUUGCUGCACGCGGGCUUUCUCUAGUUGCGGCGAGCGGGGGCUACUCUUCGUUGUGGUGCGCGAGCUUCUCAUUGCGGUGGCUUCUCUUGUUGCGGAGCAUGGGCUCUAGGCGCUUGGGCUUCAGUAGCUGUGGCACGAGGGCUCAGUAGUUGUGGCUUGUGGGCUCUAGAGCACAGGCUCAGUAGCUGUGGCACACGGGCUUAGUUGCUCCAUGGCAUGUGGGAUCCUCCCAGACCAGGGAUCGAACCCGUAUCCCCUGCAUUGGCAGGCGGAUUCUUAACCACUGUGCCACCAGGGAAGUCCCUUUGCUUGCAUUUUUAAAUUGAAAUGUAUUUGACAUUAACACUGUGUAAAGUUAAGGUGUUAUAAUUUUUUAAAAAUUAUUAAUUGGCUACCUUUUGCUUCAGCCUCCCAACUUUUUUUCUCACAAACUACAUAAACUUAUUUUUCACAGUGUUUGGUGGGGGCUUAUUUCCUAGACUACACCUUCUCUAUAGCUACACCUUCUCAGAAAAUUGGUGCCUGCUGUUGGCAGGAAGCCUUAGAUCUUCUUAGGUUUUCUCUAUAGGGCUGCUUGAGUGUCCUCACAGCAUGGUACUUAGCUAUCCCCAGAGGAGCAGUCUAGGAGACCAAGGAAGGGGCUCCUAUGAUCUCUCGGUAGCUGCACAGCUCAUUAUGACUCUCUUAAUGUCAGGUUAAGCAUCUGCGUUAGGCAUGAUUUUACAUGCAUCCAGUGUCCUCUGAUGCAGUGUCAGGCUGAGGAGUCUCACAUCUUGCUGUCAGCAAGAUGGAGGCCAUGGAGAGCUGGUGAUGCAGCUCCAGUCCAAAUCUGAAGUCCUGAGACCCAGGGGAGCCAAUGGUGUAAGUCCCAUGGAGAAGCCACCAACUUUUCUUGGGCGCAGUUCUUGUAUUCUGCCUCAGAACUCAGAGACUGAGGUGAGGGAUGCCUGCAGAAUCCACUCAGCACUCACGCACUCACAACCCAGAAAUGCAGGGGAGUCAGUGCCCUGUGGGGAGAAUCUUGACCAAUGGGAUCAAGAACCAGUCCUUCCCGAUCUAAGGUGGAUAAUUCUGAGGCCAUUCAACGUGGCUCCUCAAAAAGUCCUAAAGAGGCGGAGACUCAGUUUCCUACAACAACCCUUAUGAAAACACACCUUUGUACCGGUUUUCCCUCCUUUCCUGUUUUACUUUCCCCAGUUCCAUGAGAUUACUGCCCACCUAGCCCCCGCCAGCUCCAACACUUUUACUCAAGCCUUGGUCUCAAUGCUUGCUUUCCAGGAAGAGCACAGGCUAAUACAGCAACCUGAGUCUUUUGAUAUCUCUUCUUUUUUUUUUUUCUUAGUCAAAAAAAAGCAAAUGAUUUCUUGUGACCAGCGAUAUAAGAUAAAAGGAAAAUAAAUGUUAAGAGUCAGCAAGGAAGGAUUUGGCUAUGUGGUUAAGAUAGAAAUACUUGGUUUCUGUAUUAGGCUAAGCAAAAGCAAUAGCCUGAAAAUAGCCACUAUUGUGGAAUCAGCUAUUCUGAAGUCGCUGCCAGUUGACCGGAAGCUGUCAUUUCUCCUGCCUGUCAUUAUAGCUUCUCACAGUGCAUUGUUUUGUGCAGGGGCCGCCAGUGUGGUAGUUUCUCCUGUGUAGCUGGGUCACACGCCUUCCUCUUGCUUUUUUAAUCAAAGGUUUAUUUCCUAAUUUGUUUUUAAAGUGUACAAUUCAGUGGUUUUCAGCAGAGUCACAAAGUUGUACAAUCAUCCCCACCAUCUAACGCCCAAACCUUUCCAUCGCUCCAAACAGAAACCCGUAUUCACCAACCGUCACUCCCGGUUCUCCCCUCCUCCAAGUCCCCGUGAGCCACUAAUCUGCUUUCUGUCUCUAGAAACUGGCCCAUUCUGGACAUUUAAUAUUAACGGAAUCAUACAAUACAUGACCUUCUGUGUCUGGAUUCUUUCACUUAGCGUAAUGGCUUCAGGGUUCAUCCAUGUUGUAGCCUGUGUCAGUACUUCUGAGUUCUUUCUUCCGGACACCAGCCAAUUCUCUGCCACCAGCUGGCUGCCCUACAAUUCAAUUCAGUUUUUCCACUAACUCCUGGAGUAAGCCCCAGACCCCACAUUUUAAGGGCUCAGUCCCACAAGACUGCUCCUGCUUCAGACACCGACUGCCAAUGGGGUGCCCAGGCUACCCACAUUUCUGCCCAGGAAACUACAAAUUCAGGGGUUCCCAUGACCACUCCCCGCUUAAGGCUGAUAAUUCGCUAGAAUGACUCCGACUCACAGAACUGAGGAAAGCACUUCACUUAGAGUAACCAGUUUGUUAUAAAGGCUCCAGCUCAGGGCCAGGCAAUGGAAGAGGUGCGUGGGGCCAAGCAUGGUGAGGGGAGGCCCAGAGCUUGAAGCCUUCUCAGGGCACACCACCCUCCCAGCACUUCGAUGUGUUCAUCAACCCAGAAGCUCUCUGAGCCCCAUUAUUUAGGGGGUUCUAUGGAGUUUCAUUACGUGGUUGAUUAAAUCAAUAGCCAUUGGUGAUUGAACUCAAUCUCCUGCCCCUCUUCCCUCCCUGGAUGUUGGGGAUGGAGCUGAAAGGUCCAACUUUCUAAUCAUGGAUGGGUCUUUCUUGCAACCAGCUCCCAACCUGAAGCCUUCUAGGGGCCCACCAAGAGUCAACUCAUUAGCACAAACUCAGGUGUGGUUGAAAGGGGCUUGUUAGGCAUAACAAAAGACUCUCCUAUUACUUAGGAAAUUCCAAGGGUUUUAGGAGCUCUGUGCCAGGAACCAGGGACAGAGACUAGAUAUAUAUUUUUUAUUGUUCCAUAAUACUUUAUUCCUUGUUAUGGCUGAAUAGUAUCCCAUUGUAUGGAUACACCACAUUUUGUUUAUCCGUUCCUCAGUUGAGAGACAUUUGGGUUGUUUCUGCCCUUUGGCUAUUGUGAAUAGUACUGAUGUGAACAGAACAUUCAUACACAAGUUUUGUGUGGACAAAACCUGGGUAAAUACCUAGGAGUAGAAUCAAAUGGUAACUCCAUGUUUAACUGUUUUAGGAACUGCCAAACUGUUUCCCAAACACUUGUAUUUUUUUUUAAACUUUCUAUGUACACUAUUUAGGCUUUAUCUCCCCAUCACUUUUAUAAACUCUUUGAAGGAAGGACCAGUGUUUUCCACUCCCCUGAACCUGCCACAGUAUUUAUCCUAAUGCCUUACACCUAGUAGGGACUCAGUAAGUAUUCGUGUGUGAUCAUGUCGUCACGACAAUACGCCCUUUACGCUGGGAGUCAGUAGCAAAAGCAGCCUUACUGUCGGUUGGUGGACAUAUAUAUGGCUUUCUUUGCUUCUUUGCUCUCCACACGGGAGAAUUUCAGGCAGUGGUUGGUGUGUGUAUGUUGUGGGAACGGGCAGAGUGUGGUGAUGGUAGUUGGGUGCUAGUUAAGAGGAGUGGAGUUGGAAGGAGUGGCGGCUUCUGGUCACGUGCUUGUUCAGAUCCCCGGAGAGUGUUGAGCGGUUCUCAUUCCAAGUGACGUGUCUGGUUUAUACCGCACUCACGUUUGGAAGGGCCGUCGCUGUGCCGCCGACUCAUCCCAACUCUCCACCCACGCACAUGGCAGAGCCUUGCUCCAGGCAGUAAUCGGGACUCUUUCAUCCACAAGUGACAGAGAACCAAUUUAAACUUACUCUUGGAGGAAAAAAAAAAAAAAAGCAGAGGAGCAGUUUCUUGGCCUAUAGCCAAGAUGGCCAAGUUCUCAUCUUCGGCGGGGCUGGGUCCACCGUCAUCAGAUGGGUUGCUCACGUCCGCUGUCUCCCUGAGUCUGGACUCUGUUUUCUUCUGUCUUGACUUUUUUCUCAGAAAGAUUCUUGCCACCUGGCAGAGUAUGACGUCCCCUGGCAGCUCCAUCUGCCUCCUCACUAGCUCUUUGACAUAUAAAUACUGGAAAGCAAGGCAGCUACCAGGAGCUUGGCUAAGUUCCGUUUACCGUCAUGCUGGUGACCGUGGUGGCCUCACAUCAGGCUGAAGCUUAUCCUUCUCAGGGGGGAGACCUUGGACAUCCGUCCAAGGUCUGCUCUCCUCACCACGACUUCCUGUGGGCAUCCUUGUCUAGCCCCGCCACCCCCGCACCUCAUCCCGUUCUUGUCAAGGACACAGGCUGAGCUCAGCUGCCGAAAGGCCGGAAAACACGGCGUCUGGCGACCCGUUCUUCAAGACUUCCCGCUGCGCCUUUCCUUCUCUACGUGCACCUUUGCCGCGCUCAUCAAGCCCACGGGAAGGCACCUGGUACUGCCGGGCAGUCAUUCAUGGAGAGGACCUUGAGAGGCUGGGGAGUGAACCCCAAGGUGUGCAGGGCGCGGGCGACGGCGUGAGCCUGAGCACCGUCUUCAGUUGAGCCCAGCUGUCCUGCAUCUUCCCCGAUACUGAGGUCUGAAUCCCCACCGUGAUCAUAAAACCAGGACGUCCUCAGAAGCCCAGCUCGGCUCGAGGGCAAGAUUUGGAAGUUCUCUGUCCCCAGUGCCUUCCGUCUCUCUGUGGCUACUGCUCCGUCACCUCCAAAACGUUUUCAGCCACGAAUGGGGCGAGACGUGGAGAGGACUGGAGGCCGGCUCACUUCACACUGUCACGUUCCAGCAAAAACUCCGAAUUUAAACCAAGCCAGCGUUAUGAAAAUACGUUCGUCAAAGUAGAAGGAUAUAAGAUUUUUAACAGCUUGUUAGCCUAAGUUUUAAAUCUUAAAUAUUAACUCUGGAGUGUGUUUCUUUGUCUGUAUUUGUGCCUUGAGCCCUGCAAACGCCAGAAACAGACCUGCCUCUCUUCUUCCUUCUCUCGCUAACUCUGCCAUCUGUUGUCUCAGGCCCCCUCAUAGGAGGGAGGGACCGAAAGCACUAGCUCUGCCCAGUCCAGCCCUGCGUCUGCAUCUGCUUGUACCUCUUGCACGGGGCAGUCGCUGAUGGACCCAAGCCCUAGCAGAGACAGCUUGGGAGAGAGAAUGAUGCGAUCGGCGUAUUUAACCCUCAUUUGGAAAAGGUUGUUGGUGGAAAAACUAAGAAAAAAAUCCCAUCGGUGGGGUUGAGAACAGAAAACCUCAGCUGCGGGAAACCAGGACACGCUGAGCAGAGAUGCCCCAGACGCAGCCGAGGGCUUACUCUAUGGGAAGCGUCACCUGGUCGCAGGAGCCCACGGAACUCACAUUCACUGUCCCAUCACCCACCUCAGGGGUUCAUCACGGUGACUUGAAGAUGAGGAAACGGAGGCACCACUGGGCCAGGGAUUACAGCAUGUGAAUUGUAUCUCAAUUUUCAAAAAGUCAAAUAUCAACACUUGGCCAGGACCCGUGCAUAGCUUGCAGGGCCCAGUACAGAAUGAAAACGUGCGGCCCCUUGUUCAGAUACUAUGAGGAACUUGAAGGUGGUGACAGCAGGCCACUAAACCGAGCCCGGGGUCCUUCUGAGCCUCUGAGGCCACGCAGGCCACACUCCGUGAAGCCAGCCUGGCCUCGGGUUCCCGUCCCGAGCCUGGUGUGCGAACGCCUCCGGCACGUCAGUGACUCCCAAGCCGGGGACCCAGAUCCCUGGGUCCCUCUGACAAAAUGUUUCGUGUCUUGAGGCUUUUUUCAUUCACUGUCAUCGCUCAAGCUCGAGAAGCCCUGGGCCGUCUCUCCUCUUAUCAGAAGUCAGUCCCUCCAUGCUGGGGGCGGGGGUGUAGAGGAGCCAGGUUUUGCGCCGGCCCGCAGCCUAUGUAACUUGGGGGCCCUCUUUAAGAAAAAGAACACAAAAUUACAAAUCGAAAGGAGGCCUUGCAAGGGCCGCAGGCAGGGAGGAGCCCUGAGGCUGGAGCUUCCUUGCUCAUGCCUGCCCUGUCCCCUGUCCUUAAUUCCCCCCCCCGACCCCACCCCGGCCACCACCGUUCCCGCGCUCUUCUUCUCUCUCCGGGUGCCCUCGUGGAGCCAGACUUCUUGGAAGGGUGGUUAAUGGUUAAGUCUUCACCGCGGACUGCCCCUCCGUCUGCCACAUCUCCCUCCCUUCCUGUGCCGACAGGUGGCCUCCUCGGGUUCAGCGCUGGAUCCGGCCCCACGUAGCCGGGACCUGUGGACUGUGUCGGUGCUUCUCUGUUGGACUCUCCAGCUAGUUGUCAGCGCUGGGGACGCUCUUUCUCAGGCUCCUCCCUUUGUUCGGUGGCACCACGGCUCCCCUUUGUCCCUCUUCGGUCUCUGUUCCUUUGCUCCCUUUGGGGGCCCUUGUCUUUAUGGCGCAUGAACUAACUGGCCCACCGGGACCCCGUGCUCCAGCCCUUUUCUCUUUUUCUCUACACCAUCUUCCUAACCCCCUGUACUUCUUAUGUGCUCCAGAUUUUCUCGCUAGUCUAGUCCAAACCUCUCCUCCGAGCUCCGGCCUCAGAGCUGCCAGCUCGACGCCUCCUCUGGGAGGGGCUAUCUCAGUAUGUCCAACACUGGGCUUGGGUUUCCCUUCCCAUCCCUCCCCUGGUUUUACCCAUCCCGGUGACACACUUCCACGUAACCUGCUGCUCGAGUCAGAAAUGUGGGAGUCGUCCUUGAUUCAUCAGUAAAUCCCACAGAUCCAUCCGCCAUCACCACCAAAAACCAGACCUCAACUGUAUUUACUGAUACUUCUCUCCAUUUUCCACGCUAACACCCUCGCCAUCAUGAUAACUAGUCCAUCGUUUCUAAAUUCCAGCAAGAGCCUCAUCACUGGUCAUCUCACUUCCCCCGUUGCUCCCUCUCAAAUCUGCUUUUCUUUUUCUCUUUGUCCACACCGCACAGCUUGCGGGAUCUCAGAUCCCCAGCCGGGGAUUGAACCCGGACCGCAGCCGUGAACGCGCCGAAUCCUAGCCACUAGAGCACUAGGGAAGUCCCUCAAGUCUGUUUUUCAUAAACAGCAGGAGCAGCAGUGUCCACAGAAAUAGAAUAUGAUCGCGUGUGUAAUCAAAAUUUUGCCAGUAGCCACUUUAAACGAAAACAAAACAAAACAAAACGGGUGAAAUUAAUUUUAAUCAUACAAUCUAUUAACCUAAUGUAUUCAGAAUAUCAUUUCCAUGUGUAAUCAAUACAAAAGUUAUUAAUGAGAUACUUUACAUUUUUAAUGUCAUUUAAAAUAUACCAAACCGUGCAUACCGUACACGUACAGUGCACCUCAGCUCUGACAUGCCGCAUUUCAAGGGUGCGGUGGCCACACGUGGCUGGUAGCUGCCACGCUGGCGCAAGAGUCCGAGUGAGUUUUUACCGAAGCAAGGUGGGUUAGGUCAUCCCCCGCUUAAUAACUCCUCGGUGGUGGCACGGUGCUCAGAGACCUGCAAGGGGAUCCACAGUCUGGCCUCACCUUGCCGACGUCCUCAACAUCCUCGAGGCCUUCUUCCUGCCGUUCGCUUUGCUCAGCUGCCUCGGCCUCCUGUCAGCUCUGAGAACACACCAGAUCUCCGCGUCCGCGCGUGCCGUGGCUGACUCCUCCUCACCCUCAAAUUUCACCUUAAAUACUUUCUCCUCAGACGGGCCUUCCUUGCCCGUAUCGAAGAGGGUCCAUCUCCGUUAUCAUGUCACAGUAUUCUCUCUGUUACCUUCAUAGUGUUUUUUCUAGUUUGUAACUGUAUGUUUACUAGUCAGUUUAUUGUGUGUCUCCCCCCAGGAGACCAUGAGUUUCAUGAAGGCGGGAGCUAUCUCCAGGGCUGUAUAAGAUCCUGGCUCUAGUUGGCACUCCAUAAAGGAAUAUCUGAGCACCUUCUCUCCCCUCACUAAGGGAACUAGCAAACAGAUUUAUUUCAGUAAUGCUACGCAUCAAAUUACAAUAAAUGCACAAUGAAUAAAUGCAUCAUGGCCGGCAGAGCUUCCUUCCUAUUAAACAAGGAAGGUUUGACUAUAGGCAAAAUUAGAUUUGGUUUAUCUUUGAAGAGAUCUUAAUCAUUCACUCUGCAAACAAGGCAGUUUCCUUGAAAAACUAAGGGGAGCGGUGCUUCUAGGUGUCCCAGAUCUCAGUCGAAUGGCUCCGUGAAAGUGAAGCUGUUACUCGGUGAGCCAGCGCCAGGGACUCCAAAGCCUGGGUGGCUCUGGGGAGAUGGGAGAUGGUGGAUCUCCUUGAUGCCAGCCCAGAGGGAUUCGUCACCGGUUCAUUCAUUCAGCGGAUGUCCGUGAGCCUGUGAACACCUUUACAGCAGCCACUGUGCUAGGCUCUGGGGCUACAGCGCUCAACCAAACAGACGAAGAUCCCUGCCUACAUUCUAGUGAGGGGAGACGGAUGCUAAUUAAGAAACUUAAGUAUGCUGUUAUUUCUGGCAAGAAAAAUAAAGUCUGGAACGGGGGUGGGGAGCACAGGGCUUACAGUGUUAGGUAGGGUGACCAGAAAACGCCUCCCUGAGACGGUGACAUUUGCAUAAAGAUCUGAAGGAGGUGCGGCACUGGCCUGUGGGGCCGUCUGAGGUGAGGGAGCUCCGGGGGGCUAAGGGGACAGCGAGGAGGCCAGCGUGGCUGGAGGAGAGUGAAGAGCAGGCGGCGGAGCUGGAGGUGAGGUCGCAAGCGUUGGGAUGGGCGGGCGCAUCACGUGGAACCAGACGUCGGCCGCCGUGAGGACUCGGGUUCUCACUCUGGGUGAGGUGGCAGGUCAGCGGAGGGCUGUGAGCACGAGUGACACGGUGCUGACUUGCGUUUCAAAAGGAUCCUCCCACGUGUGUGGGACGGGAACGCACGGAGCAAGAAAGAAAAGGGGAGGGCUAGCAGGCCUUCACUUGGCACCCAAGCAACAACGCUGGAAACCGCCUCUUCGGAAGCGUGGCUCCGGAUUCACCUUCUCCCUGCGCUAUAGGCCCGGGGCGCUGGCGCGCGGGGCCUGGGCUGUGCUCCAGGAGGGCAGGCAGGACGCUGGAGCUCGUGUGACAAGAGCAGCUGAUCGCUGGUGAGGCUGCAGGAGGUCCUGGAGCAGCUUCUUUGUCGCUGGGAAGCUGACCCUCCUGGGUGCGGUCACACAGUGAUGGCCGUGGCCCGGGACGGUUGGGGAAACCAGCUACGUCUACCGUCGGCCUCUCUCAGCCUGGACAACCUUUGAGAGAGGUGCGUCUCUUUUGAAUUUGCACAGAUGAGAUGGGGCAGAAGGGAGAACUAACAUUUCUCAUUGGUGCAGCGUGCAGACUGUGUCAAAAUGUGUUGCUGAAUCUAUUUUGCCCCAACCGUGAGAAAGCAAGACUUACCGUAAACAGAAGAUGUAAUUGUGGGGUUGAGAAUUUAAGGAGCUCCAAAAUGGCUCCUCUAGAUAAAUUUAUCUCUGCUAAUCGUUGUUUACCUCUGCUGCAUUCUUUUACUUUUUCUGUUUUUUAUUUGAAUGGAAACAUGCUUUUUCCUGCUCUCAAAAAAUAAGACGUGUACAUGGUUAGAAGGUCAAGCGGUACAAAAGGGUAAACAAUGCUAAGAAAUGAUAUUGACAUGUAGAGUCCCAAUUAUACAAACAUGUAAAGUCUUCUUAAAUUCAUCUAUAUAUUUGACCCCCCAAAACUGCCACCAGAACUUUUCUAGAACUAGACAAGGCAAUGCUAAAGUAAAUGCUGAAAGGUAAGCGUGCAAAAAUUGUGAUAAAAUUCUGAAAAGGAAAAAUAACAGGGUAAAAUUAGCCCUAGAAGAUUGAAAUGUAUUAUAAAAUUACCAUAAUUAAAAGUUUGCCAGCGGCACAGGAAUUGACAGAUUAGUGGUAUAAAAUAGUAUCCAGAAAUAGACCCAAAUAUACAUUAGAAAUGUGUAUAAGAAAAAGGUAGAGGGCUUCCCUGGUGGCGCAGUGGUUAAGAAUCCGCCUGCCAAGGCAGGGCACACGGGUUCGAUCCCUGGUCCGGGAAGGUCCCACAUGCCGCAGAGAAACUAAGCCCGUGCGCCACAACUACUGGGCCCGUGCUCUAGAGCCUGUGGGCCACAACUACUGAGCCCGUGUGCCUAGAGCCCGUGCUCCACAACAAGAGAAGCCACUGCAGUGAGAAGGCCACGCACCGCAAUGAAGAGUAGCCCCCCGCUCACCGCAACUAGAGAAAGCCCGCGCACAGCAACAAAGACCCAGUGCAGCCAAAAAUAAAAUAAAUUAAUUAAAAAAAAAUUUUUUUUAAAAAGAAAAAGGUAGAAUGUCAAGAUUUUUGGGGGAAAAUUAUUAAUAAAUGGAGUUGAAACAUUUAACUUACUAUCUAGAAAAAAAAUUAGAUCCCUACCUCAUUCCUUAUACCAAAACAAAUUCCAGAUGGAUCAAAUAUUUGGAUGUUAAAAAUAAAACCAUAAAAGUAAAACAGUUGGAGAAUUUAAGGAAAUAAUCUUGGAUGAUGUUAGAGGCUGAAUUGUGUUCCCUCAAAAUUCAUAUGUUGAAGUCCUAACCCCCAGUAUCUCAGAAUGUGACUGUUUUUGGAGAUAGGGAAGGUAAUUAAAUUUAAAAUAAGGUCAUAGCAGUGGGCCCUAAUCCGAUAUGACUGGUGUCCAUGUAAGAAGAGAUUAGGACACAGGCACAGAGAGAAGACACAGGGAGAAGACAGCUGUCUAAAGCCAAGGAGAGAGGCCUCAGAAGAAACCAACCCUGAUGACACCUUGAUUUGGACCUCCAGCCUCCAGAACUGAGAGGAAAUACAUUUCUGUUGUUUAAGCCACCCUGUCUGUGGUACUCUGUUAUGGCAGGUUUGCAAACUCAUACAGGUGACUAAAAUCUUUCCGAGCAAGAUAUGAAAUUCAGAAGUCAUAGAAGAAACAAUUGAUAAAUUUGACUACGUAAUAAUUUUAAAUUUCUGCACAGAAAUAAAAACAAAUGACAGGGCUUCCCUGGUGGCGCAGUGGUUGAGAAUCCGCCUGCCGAUGCAGGGGACACGGGUUCGUGCCCAGGUCCGGGAAGAUCCCACAUGCCGCGGAGUGGCUGGGCCCGUGAGCCGUGGCCGCUGAGCCUGCGGGUCCGGAGCCUGUGCUCCGCAACGGGAGAGGCCACAACAGUGAGAGGCCCGCGUACCACAAAAAAAAAAAACAAAAAAACAAAAAAAAACAAAUGACAACAAUUAAAAGCCCCCCAAAAUUAAAAAGACAGCACACCAGGAAAAAAUAUGACACCCAAAGGGCUAAUUUCCUUAAUUUAAAAAAAAAGAGCCCUUAUCAGACCUUCCUUCCCUCCUUCCCUCCUUCCUUCCCUCCCUUCUUUCUUUGUUUCUCUUUCUCUUUCUUUCCAUAAAAGCUGAACAUCCAAAAAUGUAUACGGUAUUUCCUGAUGGUUUCCCGUUGAAUGCUAAUUUCAGUUGUAAGUGCAGUACCAUCCGACACUGCGUGGGGCUCCUAGCUGAGGACCUGUAGUCUAGACGCCCACCGCAGGGGGCCUGGCCUUAAGCAGUUCCGCUCAAAGUGGCCGUGCGUCCUUUUAAGCUCUCACUGCCCUUGAGAGAUGCAGAAUUAGGGUUUCUUCCUAGUCAUCCAGAAUCACGCACAGGCACACUCACACGCACACACACACACGACUAAUAUUAACUCUCCAGUACGGUGCUCUCCGGAGCAGCCUUAUAGAAGAAACUAUUUCCCCAUAAACAGCAUGAUGCUUUCUGACCCAAGUGGGAAUAAUAGCCUUAGAGUUUUGGUGCAGAGCUGUGGCAGCCACUGCCUUUGUCCUCACCUUACAAGAGGCCCGUCUGCCUGGGAAUCAUCCUCCGCAGAGCUGUCGUUGAUCGAUGGCUACGCUGAGAGCCUGAAGAGGCUUAAAAGACCCCUUCUCUGUGCUUUAAGCCAAAUCACAUUCCCAGGCAGACAUCUCCAGAAGGGAAAGAGGAAACGGGAGGACUUAUGAUCCCGAGGAACCCCCUCCCGUGAGCAAGUGUGAGGUGAGGGUAGGGACAGUGCACUGUCCGCAAGCGUGGGGAGGGUGGGCUGGAAAACUUCACACUUCACGCUGUUAACUGUGGUUAAUCUCGGGUGAUGAGAUUUGGAAUGGUUUUGCUUUUCUUCUAUUUAAUUUUCUAAAUUUUCUGCAGUGAAAUUGUAUUGCUUUUCUAAACAGGAGAAAGAACAAUAAAUGUUAUAAAAACCAUUUUGUAUGUUAAUCUUAUCUUCCUAACUAGACCAUAUAAACUCCCUGAAAGAGGGGUCACAUAUUUUUCUUUUCCUCCUUCUUCUUCUCCUCCUUCUCUUUCUCUCUCUUUUUAAAAAUUUUUUUAAAAAUUUUAUUUAUUUUAUUUUAUUUAUUUAUUUUUGGCUGCGUUGGGUCUUCGUUGCUGCGCGCGGGCUUUCUCUAGUUGUGGCGAGCGGGGGCUACUCUUCGUUGUGGUGCACAGGCUACUCAUUGCGGUGGCUUCAGUUGUUGCAGAGCACGGGCUCUAGGCAUGCGGGCUUCCAUAGUUGUGGCACGUGGGCUCAGUAGUUGUAGCUCAUGGGCUCUAGAGCGCAGGCUCAGUAGUUGUGGCACAUGGGCUUAGUUGCUCCGCGGCAUAUGGGAUCUUCCCGGGCCAGGGCUUGAACCUGCGUCCUCUGCGUUGGCAGGCAGAUUCUUAACCACUGCGCCACCAGGGAAGUCCCUUUUUUUUAAAAGUUUUUUUU
Molecule: long non-coding RNA, 18936 nt
Organism: Physeter macrocephalus (sperm whale)
Lineage: Eukaryota; Metazoa; Chordata; Mammalia; Artiodactyla; Physeteridae
Exons: 3
Source: RefSeq, a predicted model, not a curated record